RNAcentral lists this non-coding RNA (45 nucleotides) under Trichobilharzia regenti. Lineage: Eukaryota; Metazoa; Platyhelminthes; Trematoda; Strigeidida; Schistosomatidae. The record is from RNAcentral.
CACUGGCUGACGAGUCCCAAAUAGGACGAAAUGUGCAUCCUAUAG